RNAcentral lists this ribosomal RNA (253 nucleotides) under uncultured bacterium. RNAcentral's name for it is "partial 16S ribosomal RNA". It matches the Rfam family "Bacterial small subunit ribosomal RNA", at positions 524 to 776 of the family's 1533-position model. The record is from RNAcentral.
UACGUAGGGGGCAAGCGUUGUCCGGAAUUAUUGGGCGUAAAGGGCGCGUAGGCGGAUCAUUAAGUCCGGUGUGAAAGAUCAGGGCUCAACCCUGAGAGUGCAUCGGAAACUGGUGAUCUUGAGGACAGGAGAGGAAAGUGGAAUUCCACGUGUAGCGGUGAAAUGCGUAGAUAUGUGGAGGAACACCGGUGGCGAAGGCGACUUUCUGGACUGUAACUGACGCUGAGGCGCGAAAGCGUGGGGAGCAAACAGG